CAAUAUGUAGCUUAAAUAAAGCAUCUCGCUUACACCGAGAAAAUAUCUGUGAAACCCAGAUCAUCUUGA
RNAcentral lists this transfer RNA (69 nucleotides) under Dendropsophus rozenmani. Its description in RNAcentral is "tRNA-Val". It matches the Rfam family "tRNA". Rfam says of the family: Transfer RNA (tRNA) molecules are approximately 80 nucleotides in length. Their secondary structure includes four short double-helical elements and three loops (D, anti-codon, and T loops). The record is from RNAcentral. Lineage: Eukaryota; Metazoa; Chordata; Amphibia; Anura; Hylidae.